UCUAGGGUAAAAAUUUCUUCAGUUUAGGGUAGGUUCAACAAAUCUCCCUGGAGACACUGGAGUGAUUGCUGGUUACGGCCGAGAUUAUGGCCAUUGCACUGGGACUAAAAGUGGAAAUCGGUGUUGAAGCUGAGCCUCAUGUGAAUGAUACUAUUGAUACAGGAGGCAUAAAUUCAUCAUCAGCUCAGCCUACAAAGGGAAUAUAGAAAUGAAGUGACGUAUAAACAUGACAAUCAGCAUCAAUAAGGCAGUAGGAUCGUGGUGGCACGGUGGAGAAGGCGCUGGGUUGGAUACACGGAAGGGCACGGGUUCGAAUUCAGCUCAGACCAUUUCUUUUUUUUAUUUUUUAUAAU
Amphimedon queenslandica is the source of this 353-nucleotide long non-coding RNA. RefSeq lists it as uncharacterized. The transcript has 3 exons. The record is from RefSeq and is a predicted model, not a curated record. Lineage: Eukaryota; Metazoa; Porifera; Demospongiae; Haplosclerida; Niphatidae.